UACGGGAGGCAGCAGUGGGGAAUAUUGCACAAUGGGCGCAAGCCUGAUGCAGCCAUGCCGCGUGUAUGAAGAAGGCCUUCGGGUUGUAAAGUACUUUCAGUCGUGAGGAAGGUGUUAAGGUUAAUAACCUUAGCAAUUGACGUUAGCGACAGAAGAAGCACCGGCUAACUCCGUGCCAGCAGCCGCGGUAAUACGGAGGGUGCGAGCGUUAAUCGGAAUUACUGGGCGUAAAGGGCACGCAGGCGGUUAAUUAAGUUGGAUGUGAAAUCCCCGGGCUUAACCUGGGAAUGGCAUUCAAGACUGGUUAGCUAGAGUCUUGUAGAGGGGGUAGAAUUCCAUGUGUAGCGGUGAAAUGCGUAGAGAUGUGGAGGAAUACCGGUGGCGAAGGCGGCCCCUGGGACAAAGAUUGACGCUCAUGUGCGAAAGCGUGGGGAGCAAACAGGAUUAGAUACC
This 453-nucleotide ribosomal RNA is filed under the name uncultured bacterium. RNAcentral describes it as "bacterial SSU rRNA". It matches the Rfam family "Bacterial small subunit ribosomal RNA", at positions 340 to 786 of the family's 1533-position model. The record is from RNAcentral.